UCCGGGGUCUUCUAAUUGGCUAGGAAAACCGCCUUUGAAGCGGCGAAUGAACGUUCGAACCGUUCCCCCGGAACCA
This 76-nucleotide transfer RNA is filed under the name Aquisphaera giovannonii. RNAcentral's name for it is "tRNA-Gln". It matches the Rfam family "tRNA". Rfam says of the family: Transfer RNA (tRNA) molecules are approximately 80 nucleotides in length. Their secondary structure includes four short double-helical elements and three loops (D, anti-codon, and T loops). Lineage: Bacteria; Pseudomonadati; Planctomycetota; Planctomycetia; Isosphaerales; Isosphaeraceae. The record is from RNAcentral.